This 128-nucleotide small RNA is filed under the name Serratia sp. (in: enterobacteria). Its description in RNAcentral is "Serratia sp. (metagenome) RtT sRNA". It matches the Rfam family "RtT RNA". Rfam says of the family: This family represents a bacterial cis-regulatory element known as RtT RNA. The exact function of RtT is unknown although it is thought that it may be involved in changing the cellular response in relation to amino acid starvation. Lineage: Bacteria; Pseudomonadati; Pseudomonadota; Gammaproteobacteria; Enterobacterales; Yersiniaceae. The record is from RNAcentral.
UUUUCGUCCGUAGUUUAUAGGAUGAGCACCUCCGAAGGAGGUUUGAACCGAGCGCAGCGAGACAACGUUGCUUUAGCAACGGCCCGCGGGGCAGCAUCGCAGAUGCAGUAAUCCUCUCUCGCCGACCA